This is a long non-coding RNA of Morone saxatilis (striped sea-bass), 1284 nucleotides long. RefSeq lists it as uncharacterized. Lineage: Eukaryota; Metazoa; Chordata; Actinopteri; Moronidae. The transcript is spliced from 2 exons. The record is from RefSeq and is a predicted model, not a curated record.
AACCCCAGGAGAGUAACCUCUACGAGUCUUGUGUUUUAUUUUAAUUCUAUUUUGAGAAUUGAAUUCUGUAGUGACAGUCUAAAUAGAAACUGUGGUCCAGAGCAGUCUGAGUGCAACAUUUCAGGGGCCAGUGUUAAUUUCCUCACUGUGAAGGCACGCGGACCAAGGCACAACGUUAAUGUCAGGUCUGUGACAGUUUCAUUUGCCACUUUCAGCCACAAGUAACAUUGCUUUGGGAUCCUGUUCUCAGUGAAAAUUCCUUCUCGCUUGGUUUCAGAAAUUCAUCUCCCAUCCAUGACCUCUCCACUACCAUUGAGAAUGCAGUUGUGUCCCUGGCUUGGACUGCAAUGAACCUGGGUGUGAUACAGGGUGACCAGCUGUCUGUCGCUGCCAACAUUGCUGUGACAACCCACUCCUUCAGAUGAAUUCUCCAUUAAUUUUCUGGUCUAUCAGGAUCAGAAGUUCAUUCCUCACCCAGAAGACAGCACAGAUUCUGGUCCAGGCUCUUGUCAUCACGAUAGAUUACUGCAACUCGCCCCUGGCUGGUGUGCCUGCAUGUGCCAUCCGACCCCUGAAACUCAUCCAGAAUGCAGCAGCCCAGCUGGUCUUCAGUUUACCCAUGUUUUCCCACACUGCACCGAUCCUCUGUGCCGUGUACUCUGUUUAAAACAUCCAGGGGGUCUUCCAUCCACAAUAUGGAUCCACAAAUUGUCUGUCAAGUAUGGAAGAAAAACCAGUGAUGCUGUUCAACUACUGUCACUGCUAAUUCCCCUUCAUUUCAUUUUUCACAAUAACGCAACAGCUUAUAAUACAGCUGUUUAUCUUUGACAUUUCUGCUUACUCACAUGAAUGCAUGAAUGUAAAAUAGUGAUUUUAUCAAGGUCUCAGUGCAGGAGUUAGCAUUAGCUUUUUGUAUUUCAACAUCUUUACAAGUAUUGAGCAAUUUGCUGUCCAUAACAUACAAUCAGAAGUAAUCAAAUCAACCACACAGUUAGAAAGGUGACAGCAUGGACCUUUUGUUGUUAGCCAACUGCUAAACUAAAACAAGAUUAAGCAAGAAAGUUUCUGUUGGCUUAAGUGUUUUUGUUUACAGUGUUUAUUUGUUUUAUUUAUUUGUUCAGUACAAAUGACAAGGACCAACGAUGUCUCACACCCCCCACCCGACUUUCCCAGACCCUUCCCAAUAGCACAAAAACAGGACAUCAAACUGUACCAAAAUAAAUAUACAAAAAAAGAUAUAGAUAAAUAAAAUGUACAUUUAAAAUAAAAAAGGUGUAAACUCUA